This 74-nucleotide transfer RNA is filed under the name Deltaproteobacteria bacterium ADurb.Bin058. RNAcentral describes it as "tRNA-Ala". It matches the Rfam family "tRNA". From Rfam's summary of the family: Transfer RNA (tRNA) molecules are approximately 80 nucleotides in length. Their secondary structure includes four short double-helical elements and three loops (D, anti-codon, and T loops). The record is from RNAcentral. Lineage: Bacteria; Deltaproteobacteria.
GGGGCUGUAGCUCAGUUGGGAGAGCGCACGGUUCGCAUCCGUGAGGUCAGGGGUUCGACUCCCCUUAGCUCCAC